RNAcentral lists this ribosomal RNA (403 nucleotides) under uncultured bacterium. Its description in RNAcentral is "bacterial SSU rRNA". It matches the Rfam family "Bacterial small subunit ribosomal RNA", at positions 917 to 1322 of the family's 1533-position model. The record is from RNAcentral.
GGGCCCGCACAAGCGGUGGAGCAUGUGGUUUAAUUCGAUGAUACGCGAGGAACCUUACCAGGGCUUAAAUGUAGUGGGACAGGUCUAGAGAUAGACCCUUCUUCGGACUCAUUACAAGGUGCUGCAUGGUUGUCGUCAGCUCGUGCCGUGAGGUGUCAGGUUAAGUCCUAUAACGAGCGCAACCCCUAUCGUUAGUUGCCAGCGAGUAAUGUCGGGAACUCUAACGAAACUGCCAGUGCAAACUGUGAGGAAGGUGGGGAUGACGUCAAAUCAUCACGGCCCUUACGUCCUGGGCUACACACGUGCUACAAUGGCCGGUACAGAGAGCAGCCACUUCGCAAGAAGGAGCGAAUCUAUUAAAACCGGUCUCAGUUCGGAUCGGAGUCUGCAACUCGACUCCGUG